GCCUGGCUGGCUCAGUUGGUAGAGCACAUGACUCUUGAUCUUGGGGUUGUGAGUUCAAGCUCCAUGUUGGGUG
This 73-nucleotide transfer RNA is filed under the name Canis lupus familiaris (dog). It matches the Rfam family "tRNA". Rfam says of the family: Transfer RNA (tRNA) molecules are approximately 80 nucleotides in length. Their secondary structure includes four short double-helical elements and three loops (D, anti-codon, and T loops). RNAcentral also lists the same sequence under 1 other name. The record is from Rfam by way of RNAcentral. Lineage: Eukaryota; Metazoa; Chordata; Mammalia; Carnivora; Canidae.